This 253-nucleotide unclassified non-coding RNA is filed under the name uncultured Anaerolineales bacterium. RNAcentral describes it as "contains 16S-23S intergenic spacer region". It matches the Rfam family "Bacterial small subunit ribosomal RNA", at positions 524 to 776 of the family's 1533-position model. The record is from RNAcentral. Lineage: Bacteria; Bacillati; Chloroflexota; Anaerolineae; Anaerolineales.
CACGUAGGAUCCAAGCGUUAUCCGGAUUUACUGGGCGUAAAGCGCGUGCAGGUGGUUUGGAAAGUUGGGUGUUAAAUCUCCUGGCUCAACUGGGAGUUGUCGCUCAAAACUACCAGACUAGAGGACGGUAGAGGGAGGUGGAAUUCCGGGUGUAGUGGUGAAAUGCGUAGAUAUCCGGAGGAACACCAGUGGCGAAGGCGGCCUCCUGGCCCGUUCCUGACACUCAGACGCGAAAGCUAGGGUAGCAAACGGG